GCUAAAAUCUCUAUAUCAGGUCAGUGGCGUAAGGGUGAGUAAGGCGACGGCAACCAACCCCAUGGUUGGGCAUAGCCGCGGGAAACUGCGGGUAAUUCCCAGCGAUGUUCGUGCCGGGCAUCCGGCGUGAACCAAAGUUUCGGCGCCGUGGGACGGGCCGUCGUGGUAUUAGGUCGUUGGCGGGGUAAUGGCCCACCAAGCCUUUGAUGCCUACCGGGCGUGCGAGCGUGGCCCGGCACACUGGGACUGAGACACUGCCCAGACUCCUGCGGGAGGCUGCAGUCGAGAAUCUUCGGCAAUGGGCGCAAGCCUGACCGAGCGACGCCGCGUGGAGGAUGAAGGCCUUCGGGUUGUAAACUCCUGUCGAGGGGGAGGAAGGCGCAAGCUUGACCUAUCCCUGGAGGAAGCACGGGCUAAGUUCGUGCCAGCAGCCGCGGUAAUACGAACCGUGCUAACGUUAUUCGGAAUCACUGGGCUUAAAGCGCGUGUAGGCGGAUGGGGACGUCGGUUGCUGAAAGCCCCCGGCUCAACCGGGGAACGGGCGCCGAAACGCCUCGUCUUGAGGGACGUAGGGGGACCUGGAACUUCCGGUGGAGCGGUGAAAUGCGUUGAGAUCGGAAGGAACGCCCGUGGCGAAAGCGAGGUCCUGGACGUUUUCUGACGCUGAGACGCGAAAGCUAGGGUAGCGAACGGGAUUAGAUACCCCGGUAGUCCUAGCUGUAAACGAUGGGCACUGGGUAGGGGGCUCGCCGAUGGGCUCUCUGCCGUAGGGAAACCGUGAAGUGCCCCGCCUGGGGAGUAUGGUCGCAAGGCUGGAACUCAAAGGAAUUGACGGGGGCUCACACAAGCGGUGGAGCAUGUGGCUUAAUUCGAGGCUACGCGAAGAAC
Molecule: ribosomal RNA, 888 nt
Filed under: uncultured soil bacterium
Lineage: Bacteria
Description: bacterial SSU rRNA
Rfam family: Bacterial small subunit ribosomal RNA
Source: RNAcentral